GGGUUUUCAAUUAUCUUUUUUUUUUUUUUUUCUGGGCAAAUAUGCAGAGUUGACAUUUGGGGCAAUGGAAUUUGCAGUUUCGGCUUCCCCCAGAUGAAUGUAUUUCGUUCUUAUCAGUCAAGCACUUGGCUAGAUGAAUUUGUCCAGUUGAAAGCUAUUCAUUCUGGUGUACAGCUCAGAGUUGUUGAACGCUGCGUUUGGUGAAGUUUUUGGG
Rhodamnia argentea is the source of this 214-nucleotide long non-coding RNA. RefSeq lists it as uncharacterized. NCBI's taxonomy places the organism in Eukaryota, Viridiplantae, Streptophyta, Magnoliopsida, Myrtales, Myrtaceae. The record is from RefSeq and is a predicted model, not a curated record. The transcript is spliced from 2 exons.